UACGUAGGGGGCGAGCGUUGUCCGGAAUCACUGGGCGUAAAGCGCGCGUAGGCGGCGCGGUGCAUCCCUCGUGAAAGCGCCCGGCUCAACCGGGCGAGGCCGGGGGAGAUGGCCGCGCUGGAGGGCGGUAGAGGCAGGCGGAAGGCCCGAAGUAGUGGUGAAAUGCGUAGAGAUCGGGCGGAACACCGGUGGCGAAGGCGGCCUGCUGGGCCGGCCCUGACGCUGAGGCGCGAAAGCCAGGGGAGCCGAACGGGA
RNAcentral lists this ribosomal RNA (255 nucleotides) under uncultured bacterium. Its description in RNAcentral is "partial 16S ribosomal RNA". It matches the Rfam family "Bacterial small subunit ribosomal RNA", at positions 524 to 777 of the family's 1533-position model. The record is from RNAcentral.